RNAcentral lists this ribosomal RNA (102 nucleotides) under Lacticaseibacillus paracasei. Lineage: Bacteria; Bacillati; Bacillota; Bacilli; Lactobacillales; Lactobacillaceae. The record is from RNAcentral.
GACAAGAUUAUCAACAGCGCAUGAUGCUACCUGUUUCUUAAGCUUCUACAAAUUGGAGAAAUGUUUGAAUAAACUAAAACAGCUGGUUAUCGGGAUCAUUCU